Molecule: ribosomal RNA, 253 nt
Filed under: uncultured bacterium
Lineage: Bacteria
Description: partial 16S ribosomal RNA
Rfam family: Bacterial small subunit ribosomal RNA
Source: RNAcentral
UAUGUAGGGGGCAAGCGUUGUCCGGAAUCAUUGGGCGUAAAGAGCGCGUAGGCGGCCAGAUAAGUCCGGUGUGAAAGUCACAGGCUCAACCUGUGAAUGCUGCAGGAAACUGUCUGGCUUGAGUCCGGAAGGGGCGAGUGGAAUUCCUGGUGUAGCGGUGAAAUGCGCAGAUAUCAGGAGGAACACCAAUGGCGAAGGCAGCUCGCUGGAACGGUACUGACGCUGAGGCGCGAAAGCGUGGGGAGCAAACAGG